This 134-nucleotide non-coding RNA is filed under the name Chromera velia. Lineage: Eukaryota; Chromeraceae. The record is from RNAcentral.
GCAUUUGUUUUGGGGGAUGAACAUUGACGAGGAGGGCAGGCCGGCAGACGAGGAGAUGCAACUGGUAGUGCGGCGAAUGCUGGAGGUCGCAUCAUCAGAAAGAAACAUUCAGAGAAGCUCCGUGCAGGACUUCU